This 537-nucleotide ribosomal RNA is filed under the name Lactobacillus delbrueckii subsp. bulgaricus. RNAcentral describes it as "partial 23S ribosomal RNA". It matches the Rfam family "Bacterial large subunit ribosomal RNA", at positions 1 to 541 of the family's 2925-position model. Lineage: Bacteria; Bacillati; Bacillota; Bacilli; Lactobacillales; Lactobacillaceae. The record is from RNAcentral.
AGGUCAAGUGAAGAAGGGCGCACGGUGAAUGCCUUGGCACUGGAAGCCGAUGAAGGACGCGACUAACCGCGAAAGUCUUCGGGGAGCCGUAAGUAGGCUUUGAUCCGGAGGUCUCCGAAUGGGGGAACCCAGCAUGUGCAGACAUGCUAUCCUUAAGUGAAUACAUAGCUUAAGGAGGGAACACGCAGUGAACUGAAACAUCUAAGUAGCUGCAGGAAGAGAAAGAAAUAUCGAUUUCCCAAGUAGCGGCGAGCGAACAGGAAAGAGCCCAAACCGGCAGAUUUAUCUGCCGGGGUUGUAGGACUGAGACAUGGCACUUCAGAGGAUAGCAGAAGCGUUUGGGAAAGCGCGCCAGAGAGGGUGAGAGCCCCGUAAGCGAAAUCCAAAGAAGGCCUAUCAGUAUCCUGAGUAGGGCGGGACACGUGAAAUCCCGUUUGAAUCCGCGAGGACCAUCUCGCAAGGCUAAAUACUAACCAGUGACCGAUAGUGAACCAGUACCGUGAGGGAAAGGUGAAAAGAACCCCGGGAGGGGAGUGA